UACGUAGGGGGCAAGCGUUGUCCGGAUUUAUUGGGCGUAAAGAGCUCGUAGGCGGCUUGUCGCGUCGACUGUGAAAACCCGCGGCUCAACCGCGGGCCUGCAGCCGAUACGGGCAGGCUAGAGUUCGGGUAGGGGAGACUGGAAUUCCUGGUGUAGCGGUGAAAUGCGCAGAUAUCAGGAGGAAUACCGAUGGCGAAGGCAGGUCUCUGGGCUGACACUGACGCUCAUGCACGAAAGCGUGGGGAGCAACAGG
This 253-nucleotide ribosomal RNA is filed under the name uncultured bacterium. RNAcentral describes it as "partial 16S ribosomal RNA". It matches the Rfam family "Bacterial small subunit ribosomal RNA", at positions 524 to 775 of the family's 1533-position model. The record is from RNAcentral.